UUUGGUUAAGUUAGAAAGGGCGCACGGUGGAUGCCUUGACACUAGGAGUCGAUGAAGGACGGGACUAACGCCGAUAUGCUUCGGGGAGCUGUAAGUAAGCUUUGAUCCGAAGAUUUCCGAAUGGGGAAACCCACCAUACGUAAUGGUAUGGUAUCCUUAUCUGAAUACAUAGGGUAAGGAAGACAGACCCAGGGAACUGAAACAUCUAAGUACUGGAGGAAGAGAAAGCAAAUGCGAUUUCCUGAGUAGCGGCGAGCGAAACGGAACAUAGCCCAAACAAGAGGCUUGCCUCUUGGGGUUGUAGGACAUUCUAUACGGAGUUACAAAGGAACGAGGUAGACGAAGCGACCUGGAAAGGUCCGUCGUAGAGGGUAACAACCCCGUAGUCGAAACUUCGUUCUCUCUUGAAUGUAUCCUGAGUACGGCGGAACACGUGAAAUUCCGUCGGAAUCUGGGAGGACCAUCUCCCCAAGGCUAAAUACCCCUAAGUGAUCGAUAGUGAACCAGUACGUGAGGGAAAGGUGAAAAGCACCCAAGGGGAGAAAAGAGAUCUGAAACCGUGUGCCUACAAAUAGUCAGAGCCCGUUAACGGGUGAUGGGCUGCCUUCUUGUAGAAUGAACGCGGCAGGUUACGAUCCCGUGCGAGGUUAAGGAAGAGGAGCGCAGAAAGCGAGUCUGAUAGGGCGUUUAGUACGUGGUCGUAGACCCGAAACCAGGUGAUCUACCCAUGUCCAGGGUGAAGUUCAGGUAACACUGAAUGGAGGCCCGAACCCACGCACGUUGAAAAGUGCGGGGAUGAGGUGUGGGUAGCGGAGAAAUUCCAAUCGAACCUGGAGAUAGCUGGUUCUCCCCGAAAUAGCUUUAGGGCUAGCCUUAAGUGUAAGAGUCUUGGAGGUAGAGCACUGAUUGGACUAGGGGUCCUCAUCGGAUUACCGAAUUCAGUCAAACUCCGAAUGCCAAUGACUUAUCCUUAGGAGUCAGACUGCGAGUGAUAAGAUCCGUAGUCAAAAGGGAAACAGCCCAGACCGCCAGCUAAGGUCCCAAAGUGUGUAUUAAGUGGAAAAGGAUGUGGAGUUGCUUAGACAACUAGGAUGUUGGCUUAGAAGCAGCCACCAUUUAAAGAGUGCGUAAUAGCUCACUAGUCGAGUGACUCUGCGCCGAAAAUGUACCGGGGCUAAAUACACCACCGAAGCUGCGGAUUGAUACCAAUGGUAUCAGUGGUAGGGGAGCGUUCUAAGGACAGUGAAGUCAGACCGGAAGGACUGGUGGAGUGCUUAGAAGUGAGAAUGCCGGUAUGAGUAGCGAAAGACGGGUGAGAAUCCCGUCCACCGAAUGCCUAAGGUUUCCUGAGGAAGGCUCGUCCGCUCAGGGUUAGUCAGGACCUAAGCCGAGGCCGACAGGCGUAGGCGAUGGACAACAGGUUGAUAUUCCUGUACCACCUCUUUAUCGUUUGAGCAAUGGAGGGACGCAGAAGGAUAGAAGAAGCGUGCGAUUGGUUGUGCACGUCCAAGCAGUUAGGCUGAUAAGUAGGCAAAUCCGCUUAUCGUAAAGGCUGAGCUGUGAUGGGGAAGCUCCUUAUGGAGCGAAGUCUUUGAUUCCCCGCUGCCAAGAAAAGCUUCUAGCGAGAUAAAAGGUGCCUGUACCGCAAACCGACACAGGUAGGCGAGGAGAGAAUCCUAAGGUGUGCGAGAGAACUCUGGUUAAGGAACUCGGCAAAAUGACCCCGUAACUUCGGGAGAAGGGGUGCUUUCUUAACGGAAAGCCGCAGUGAAUAGGCCCAAGCGACUGUUUAGCAAAAACACAGCUCUCUGCGAAGCCGUAAGGCGAAGUAUAGGGGGUGACACCUGCCCGGUGCUGGAAGGUUAAGGAGAGGGGUUAGCGUAAGCGAAGCUCUGAACUGAAGCCCCAGUAAACGGCGGCCGUAACUAUAACGGUCCUAAGGUAGCGAAAUUCCUUGUCGGGUAAGUUCCGACCCGCACGAAAGGUGUAACGAUUUGGGCACUGUCUCAACCAGAGACUCGGUGAAAUUAUAGUACCUGUGAAGAUGCAGGUUACCCGCGACAGGACGGAAAGACCCCGUGGAGCUUUACUGUAGCCUGAUAUUGAAUUUUGGUACAGUUUGUACAGGAUAGGCGGGAGCCAUUGAAACCGGAGCGCUAGCUUCGGUGGAGGCGCUGGUGGGAUACCGCCCUGACUGUAUUGAAAUUCUAACCUACGGGUCUUAUCGACCCGGGAAUGUCAGGUGGGCAGUUUGACUGGGGCGGUCGCCUCCUAAAGUGUAACGGAGGCGCCCAAAGGUUCCCUCAGAAUGGUUGGAAAUCAUUCGUAGAGUGCAAAGGCAUAAGGGAGCUUGACUGCGAGACCUACAAGUCGAGCAGGGACGAAAGUCGGGCUUAGUGAUCCGGUGGUUCCGCAUGGAAGGGCCAUCGCUCAACGGAUAAAAGCUACCCCGGGGAUAACAGGCUUAUCUCCCCCAAGAGUCCACAUCGACGGGGAGGUUUGGCACCUCGAUGUCGGCUCAUCGCAUCCUGGGGCUGUAGUCGGUCCCAAGGGUUGGGCUGUUCGCCCAUUAAAGCGGUACGCGAGCUGGGUUCAGAACGUCGUGAGACAGUUCGGUCCCUAUCCGUCGUGGGCGUAGGAAAUUUGAGAGGAGCUGUCCUUAGUACGAGAGGACCGGGAUGGACGCACCGCUGGUGUACCAGUUGUUCUGCCAAGGGCAUAGCUGGGUAGCUAUGUGCGGAAGGGAUAAGUGCUGAAAGCAUCUAAGCAUGAAGCCCCCCUCAAGAUGAGAUUUCCCAUAGCGUAAGCUAGUAAGAUCCCUGAAAGAUGAUCAGGUUGAUAGGUUCGAGGUGGAAGCAUGGUGACAUGUGGAGCUGACGAAUACUAAUAGAUCGAGGACUUAACCAUAUAA
RNAcentral lists this ribosomal RNA (2911 nucleotides) under Bacillus cereus. RNAcentral's name for it is "bacterial LSU rRNA". It matches the Rfam family "Bacterial large subunit ribosomal RNA". Lineage: Bacteria; Bacillati; Bacillota; Bacilli; Caryophanales; Bacillaceae. The record is from RNAcentral.